UCUGAUGUAGGGCGAUGCGUGGCGGGAAGGCGUAGGGGGCGAUGGUUGUCGUGUAUUAUUGGGCGUAAAUGGGUCUGAGGCGGGCUGUCUGUUCGGUUGGGAAAGCCGUGGGCUGAACCCCGGGUCGGCAGUCGAGACGGGCAGGCUAGAGUUCGGUAGGGGAGAUCGGAAUUCCUGGUGUAGCGGUGAAAUGCGCAGAUAUCAGGAGGAACACCGGUGGCGAAGGCGGAUCUCUGGGCCGAUACCGACGCUGAGGAGCGAAAGCGUGGGGAGCGAACAGGAUUAGAUACCCGGGUAGUC
Molecule: ribosomal RNA, 300 nt
Filed under: uncultured Aeropyrum sp.
Lineage: Archaea; Thermoproteati; Thermoproteota; Thermoprotei; Acidilobales; Acidilobaceae
Description: bacterial SSU rRNA
Rfam family: Bacterial small subunit ribosomal RNA (bases 53-300)
Source: RNAcentral